ACGCUGGCUGUGUGCCUAAUACAUGCAUGUCGAGCGAGGUUAGCAAUAACCUAGCGGCGAAUGGGUGAGUAACACGUGCUUAAUCUACCUUUUAGAUUGGAAUACCCAUUGGAAACAAUGGCUAAUGCCGGAUACGCAUGGAACCGCAUGGUUCCGUUGUGAAAGGCGCUGUAAGGCGCCACUAAAAGAUGAGGGUGCGGAACAUUAGUUAGUUGGUGAGGUAAUGGCCCACCAAGACUAUGAUGUUUAGCCGGGUCGAGAGACUGAACGGCCACAUUGGGACUGAGAUACGGCCCAAACUCCUACGGGAGGCAGCAGUAGGGAAUAUUCCACAAUGAGCGAAAGCUUGAUGGAGCGACACAGCGUGCACGAUGAAGGUCUUCGGAUUGUAAAGUGCUGUUAUAAGGGAAGAACAUUUGCAAUAGGAAAUGAUUGCAGACUGACGGUACCUUGUCAGAAAGCGAUGGCUAACUAUGUGCCAGCAGCCGCGGUAAUACAUAGGUCGCAAGCGUUAUCCGGAAUUAUUGGGCGUAAAGCGUUCGUAGGCUGUUUGUUAAGUCUGGAGUUAAAUCCCGGGGCUCAACCCCGGCUCGCUUUGGAUACUAGCAAACUAGAGUUAGAUAGAGGUAAGCGGAAUUCCAUGUGAAGCGGUGAAAUGCGUAGAUAUAUGGAAGAACACCAAAGGCGAAGGCAGCUUACUGGGUCUAUACUGACGCUGAGGGACGAAAGCGU
RNAcentral lists this ribosomal RNA (732 nucleotides) under uncultured Mycoplasma sp. RNAcentral describes it as "bacterial SSU rRNA". It matches the Rfam family "Bacterial small subunit ribosomal RNA", at positions 33 to 762 of the family's 1533-position model. Lineage: Bacteria; Bacillati; Mycoplasmatota; Mollicutes; Mycoplasmatales; Mycoplasmataceae. The record is from RNAcentral.